AGCUUUGCGCAGUGGCAGUAUCAUAGCCAAUGAGGUUUAUCUGAGGCCUGAUUAUUGCUAAUUAAAACUAAG
RNAcentral lists this small nuclear RNA (72 nucleotides) under Fukomys damarensis (Damara mole-rat). Its description in RNAcentral is "U4 spliceosomal RNA". It matches the Rfam family "U4 spliceosomal RNA", at positions 1 to 73 of the family's 138-position model. From Rfam's summary of the family: U4 small nuclear RNA (U4 snRNA) is a component of the major U2-dependent spliceosome. The structure of U4 snRNA from yeast and human has been reported. Lineage: Eukaryota; Metazoa; Chordata; Mammalia; Rodentia; Bathyergidae. The record is from Rfam by way of RNAcentral.